Molecule: ribosomal RNA, 214 nt
Filed under: uncultured bacterium
Lineage: Bacteria
Description: partial 16S ribosomal RNA
Rfam family: Bacterial small subunit ribosomal RNA
Source: RNAcentral
UACGUAGGGGCAAGCGUUGUCCGGAAUCAUUGGGCGUAAAGAGCGUGUAGGCGGCCCGGUAAGUCCGCUGUGAAAGUCCAGGCUCAACCCUGGGAUGCCGGUGGAUACUGUCGGGCUCGAGUCCGGAAGAGGAGUGUGGAAUUCCUGGUGUAGCGGUGAAAUGCGGCAGAUAUCAGGAGGAACACCGGUGGCGAAGGCGGGUCUCUGGGCAGUG